CCUACGGGUCGCAGCAGUGAGGCAUAUUGGUCAAUGGACGAGAGUCUGAACCAGCCAAGUAGCGUGAAGGAUGACUGCCCUAUGGGUUGUAAACUUCUUUUAUAAAGGAAUAAAACGAGGCACGUGUGCCUUUUUGCAUGUCAUUUAUGAAUAAGGAUCGGCUAACUCCUUGCCAGCAGCCGCGGUAAUACGGAGGAUCCGAGCGUUAUCCGGAUUUAUUGGGUUUAAGGGUUGCGGAGGGUUUUUUUUAGGUCAGCGUUGAAAGUUUGUGGCUCACCCAUAAAAUUGCCGUUGAUACUGGAAGACUUGAGUGUGUUUGAGGUAGGCGGAAUGCGCGGUGUAGCGGUGAAAUGCAUAGAUAUCACGCAGAACCCCGAUUGCGAAGGCAGCUUACUAAGCCAUAACUGACACUGAAGCACGAAAGCGUGGGGAUCAAACAGGAUUAGAUACCCCUGUAGUC
This 460-nucleotide ribosomal RNA is filed under the name uncultured bacterium. Its description in RNAcentral is "partial 16S ribosomal RNA". It matches the Rfam family "Bacterial small subunit ribosomal RNA", at positions 338 to 795 of the family's 1533-position model. The record is from RNAcentral.